RNAcentral lists this ribosomal RNA (702 nucleotides) under unidentified archaeon. Its description in RNAcentral is "bacterial SSU rRNA". It matches the Rfam family "Archaeal small subunit ribosomal RNA", at positions 4 to 708 of the family's 1478-position model. The record is from RNAcentral.
CUGGUUGAUCCUGCCAGAGGUUACUGCUAUCGAGGUUCGACUAAGCCAUGCGAGUCGAAUGUAGCAAUACAUGGCGUACUGCUCAGUAACACGUGGACAACCUGCCCUUAGGUUGGGUAUAAACCCGGGAAACUGGGUAUAAUCCCCUAUAAGUCUCGGCUGCUGGAAUGCACCGAGAUUAAAAGCUCCGGCGCCUAAGGAUGGGUCUGCGGCCUAUCAGGUAGUAGUGGGUGUAGCGUACCUACUAGCCUACGACGGGUACGGGUUGUGAGAGCAAGAGCCCGGAGAUGGAUUCUGAGACACGAAUCCAGGCCCUACGGGGUGCAGCAGGCGCGAAAACUUUACAAUGCUGGCAACAGCGAUAAGGGAACCUCGAGUGCCAGGUUACAAAUCUGGCUGUCGAGAUGCCUAAAAAGCAUUUCAUAGCAAGGGCCGGGCAAGACCGGUGCCAGCCGCCGCGGUAACACCGGCGGCUCGAGUGGUAACCGUUAUUAUUGGGUCUAAAGGGUCUGUAGCCGGCCGGAUAAGUCUCUUGAGAAAUCUGGCAGCUUAACUGUCAGGCUUUCAGGAGAUACUGUCUGGCUCGAGGCCGGGAGAGGUGAGAGGUACUUCAGGGGUUAAGGGGGUGAAAUCUUGUAAUCCUUGAAGGACCACCAGUGGCGAAGGCGUCUCACCAGAACGGACCUGACGGCAAGGGACGAA